RNAcentral lists this ribosomal RNA (423 nucleotides) under uncultured bacterium. Its description in RNAcentral is "partial 16S ribosomal RNA". It matches the Rfam family "Bacterial small subunit ribosomal RNA", at positions 361 to 776 of the family's 1533-position model. The record is from RNAcentral.
AUAUUGGACAAUGGGGGAAACCCUGAUCUAGCCAUCCCGCGUGUAUGAUGAAGGGCUAAGGGUUGUAUAGUAAUUUUGGCAGAGAAGAAAAGGUAACCCAUAAUACGGGAUACUGCUGACGGGAUCUGCAGAAUAAGCACCGGCUAACCACGUGCAAGCCGCCGCGGUAAUACGUAGGGUGCAAGAGUGAAGCGGAAUUACGGGGCGAAAAGCGUGUGUAGGCGGUUCGGAAAGAAAGAUGUUAAAUUCAAGUGCUCAACCUACGAACUGGAUUGUUAACUGCCGAGCUAGAGUAUGUCAGAAGGGGGUAUAAUUCCACGUGUAGCAGUGGAGUGCGUAGAUAUGUGGAGAAAUACAGAUGGAGAAGGCAGCCCCCUGUGAUAAUACUGACGCGCAGACACGAAAGCGUGGGGAGCAAACAGG